AUUGAACGCUGGCGGCAGGCCUAACACAUGCAAGUCGAACGAGCGGCGGACGGGUGAGUAAUGAAUGGGAAUCUGCCCUCUAGAGGGGGAUAACGACGGGAAACGGUCGCUAAUACCGCAUACUAUCGGAUGAACCCCAAUGGGAUUAGCUAGUUGGUGGGGUAAUGGCCGACGAAGGCGACGAUCUCUAGCUGGUCUGAGAGGAUGAGCAGCCACACCGUGACUGUGAAACGGCCCGGACUCCUACGUGAGGCAGAAGUGGGGAAUAUUGCGAAAUGGGCGCAACCCUGAUGCAGCCAGGCCGCGUGAAUGAAGAAGGCCUGCGGGUUGUAAAGUACUUUCGGUGAGGAGGCGUUAAUCACAGAAGAAGCACCGGCUAACUCCGUGCCAGCAGCCGCGGUAAUUC
RNAcentral lists this ribosomal RNA (406 nucleotides) under uncultured bacterium. Its description in RNAcentral is "partial 16S ribosomal RNA". It matches the Rfam family "Bacterial small subunit ribosomal RNA", at positions 30 to 526 of the family's 1533-position model. The record is from RNAcentral.